AUGGCGUCGGAUGGAUCGGCUUCAGCAACGGCUGCGGGAGCAGACCCCGCCGACGAGAUCGAGAAGAUGAUGGCAGAGCUGGGGCUGCGUGAGGAAGAUCUGGAUGAUGUUGUCUAUGAUGAGAAAGAAGCUCCGCCUGAUGCGAUGCGAUGGACAGCAGUGGUACGUGUGCAUAUCGGCAAGUCAUACAGUCAGUACUGGUUCUUCAAGAACAUGCGGGCGGCCUGGGAUCUUGCCCAAGAUUGCAAAUUUCGUCCACUGGAGGACAACCUCUAUACGGUGCAAUUCUUUUGUCUAGGAGAUUGGGAGCGUGUGAUGCAAGAUGGUCCGUGGCAUUUCCGGGGAAACGCAGUAAUAAGCACGCCCUAUGAUGGAGUGACGCAACCAUCUAUGGUGCCCCUUGAGACUCUUGACAUAUGGGCUCAGAUACAUGAUGUUCCAGACAAGUAUGCGCAUCUUGUUGAGGCGUUGGCAGGCAAGGUUGGAGAGGUUUUGUUCAUAGAGAAACGGUCCCAAGAUUUUGCCGGAAACUUCUAUCGAGUUUGGGUUAAGAUAAAUGUCUUUAAACCGCUCAAGAACGUUGUCUCGAUGAUCGGGGACGGCAGGAGACAGAUUUAUAGGGUGAAGUAUGAAAAGCUCCCCGAUUGGUGUGCGGUCUGUGGCCACUUGGGCCAUGUCUACAAGGAGCAUGGAGACGGCAUGCAUGCCCCAAGUUCUCUGUACUUCAAGGACCUGCGCGCGUCCUGGUCAAUGCGCACUACUACUGGCUCGGGCGGUGGAAGAGGACGUAGUGGAGGAAGGGGAAGCCGUGGUGGUCGCAAUAGUGCAAGGGGUGGAAGGUACAGCGAUACGGGAGCGUCUGAAGCUGUCCAGGAAAGAGACACUACAGGGUACGAUGAUACUGAUAUGCUGGAGGGGAACCGGAAAAGGGGAGAUAGAAGCGAUCUUAACUUGAUCAACAAAAACCUGCUUGAGCCUAACGUCAAUCAGUUGGCAAUAGUUCCGGCAGGGGCAAAUCCAGUGAAACCCAACGCGAAUUUACAAGGAACCCCUCAUGCAGAUGGAGCGCCACAUGCAAGGGCCUUGGCACCUCCAACGAGCUUCGCGAAAAUCCACGUCGACGGCGCAGUUUACAGGGACCGACGCGGAUCAGCUGUUGCAGUGUGCCGUGAUGAAGCUAGAGACUAUCUUGGAAGCUCAGCAUUGGUUAUCGAGGACCAACAUGACCCGGCGACGCUAGAGGCGAUUGCUUGCAGAGAAGCAUUAGCCUUGGCUGAAGAUCUUCUUCUCCAACAUUUUGUUGUCUCCUCCGACUGCAAACAGGUGAAGCAUCAAGUUCAUGGCCAUUCUGUUACACACCCUCUUGAGUGCACUGAUCAAAACCUCCUUAAACUCUUCAUUAAACCCUCUCAUAAUCAACUAGCGGGACAUGAGACUGAUCACUUCACUAUAGCUCAAGAGGAGAAAUUUGCACUUGCUGAGGUGAAAAGUGUUCAUGAGCAUGUGUGCCAAUUUUUUGUUCAAGCUACAAAACUCAUCACAAUCAUAGCACUGAUCACAACACAUGCCUCCCCGCAGCUGGUCCAGGCUUCCGGACGGCGUCUGACAGCAGCGACGCACGGACGUAUAUCGUACCGGAAUCCUCCAGCAGCAUCUUGCGCUGCCGCCGACAGCCGCACCACCUGCGGCUCCAUUGUCGCCGUCCGCAGGGGCUCGAAAGACAGUGUCCCCUUCGGCCCCGCGCCGGCGCUGCCCCCUUCUCCGUCCUCCCGCGCAGCCGCGGAGCACUAG
Molecule: ribosomal RNA, 1791 nt
Filed under: Triticum aestivum (bread wheat)
Lineage: Eukaryota; Viridiplantae; Streptophyta; Magnoliopsida; Poales; Poaceae
Description: partial small subunit ribosomal RNA
Source: RNAcentral